AACGAACGCUGGCGGCAGGCCUAAAACAUGCAAGUCGAACGCUCCAGCAAUGGAGAGUGGCAGACGGGUGAGUAACACGUGGGAACCUACCCUCUGGUUCGGAAUAGCCCAGGGAAACUUGGGGUAAUACCGGAUAAGCCCUUCGGGGGAAAGAUUUAUCGCCAGAGGAUGGGCCCGCGUCGGAUUAGCUAGUUGGUAGGGUAACGGCCUACCAAGGCGACGAUCCGUAGCUGGUCUGAGAGGAUGAUCAGCCACACUGGGACUGAGACACGGCCCAGACUCCUACGGGAGGCAGCAGUUGGGAAUAUUGGACAAUGGGCGCAAGCCUGAUCCAGCCAUGCCGCGUGAGUGACGAAGGCCUUCGGGUUGUAAAGCUCUUUUGGCGGGGAAGAUAAUGACGGUACCCGCAGAAUAAGCCCCGGCUAACUUCGUGCCAGCCGCCGCCGUAAAAC
This 452-nucleotide ribosomal RNA is filed under the name uncultured bacterium. Its description in RNAcentral is "bacterial SSU rRNA". It matches the Rfam family "Bacterial small subunit ribosomal RNA", at positions 29 to 526 of the family's 1533-position model. The record is from RNAcentral.